RNAcentral lists this ribosomal RNA (372 nucleotides) under uncultured organism. Its description in RNAcentral is "bacterial SSU rRNA". It matches the Rfam family "Bacterial small subunit ribosomal RNA", at positions 526 to 896 of the family's 1533-position model. The record is from RNAcentral.
CGUAGGGUGCGAGCGUUAAUCGGAAUUACUGGGCGUAAAGUGUGCGCAGGCGGCCGAGCAAGUCGAGUGUGGAAGCCCCGAGCUUAACUUGGGAACUGCGCUCGAAACUACUUGGCUAGAGUGUGGCAGAGGGAGGUGGAAUUCCACGCGUAGCGGUGAAAUGCGUAGAGAUGUGGAGGAACACCGAUGGCGAAGGCAGCCUCCUGGGCCAACACUGACGCUCAUGCACGAAAGCGUGGGGAGCAAACAGGAUUAGAUACCCUGGUAGUCCACGCCCUAAACGAUGAUGACUAGUUGUUGGAGGAGUUAAAUCCUUUAGUAACGCAGCUAACGCGUGAAGUCAUCCGCCUGGGGAGUACGGUCGCAAGAUUA